GCUCUUUGUAAGAUUUUUGUUAAAUAAGGAGUUGUACCUGCUCAAUGAUUUAAGUAUUAAAUAGCAGCGGUAUACUGACCGUUCAAAGGUAGUGUUAUAGUCUAUUAAUUGUUGGCUAAUGAAUGGUUUGACGUAGCACUAUUGUCUCAAGUUUAUUAACUAAAAUUUAACAUGUAAGUGAAAAGGCUUACAUUACUUAAAAAGACGAUAAGACCCCGUUGAAUUUUAGUUAAUGUGCUUUUUUAGGUGCUAAUACUUUAGUUGGGGCAACUGGGAAACAUAGAAAUUUUUUUGUAUGCAUGUUUAUUUAGAUCCACAGGAUUUGUGAUAGAAAGAUUGAAUUACCACGGGGAUAACAGCAUAAUUUUUUUCAUGAGUACUUAUCUAGAAAGAAGUUUGUGACCUCGAUGUUGGACUAGGGAAUCUUUUUGGUGUGAGUUUCUAUUAAAGUUGGUCUGUUCGACCCUUAAAUCCCUACG
This 479-nucleotide ribosomal RNA is filed under the name Neilonella whoii. RNAcentral describes it as "partial 16S ribosomal RNA". It matches the Rfam family "Bacterial large subunit ribosomal RNA", at positions 1818 to 2600 of the family's 2925-position model. The record is from RNAcentral. Lineage: Eukaryota; Metazoa; Mollusca; Bivalvia; Nuculanida sp.; Neilonellidae.